UACAGAGGUCUCAAGCGUUGUUCGGAUUCAUUGGGCGUAAAGGGUGCGUAGGCGGCGGGUCAAGUCGAGUGUGAAAGCCCCGGGCUCAACCUGGGAAUUGCGCUCGAGACUGGUCUGCUUGAGUUCGGGAGAGGAGAGUGGAAUUCCCAGUGUAGAGGUGAAAUUCGUAGAUAUUGGGAAGAACACCGGUGGCGAAGGCGGCUCUCUGGACCGAGACUGACGCUGAGGCGCGAAAGCGUGGGGAGCAAACAGG
RNAcentral lists this ribosomal RNA (253 nucleotides) under uncultured bacterium. Its description in RNAcentral is "partial 16S ribosomal RNA". It matches the Rfam family "Bacterial small subunit ribosomal RNA", at positions 524 to 776 of the family's 1533-position model. The record is from RNAcentral.